AACCUCCGCAAUGUGAGAAAUCGCGACGGGGGGAUCCCAAGUGCCAUUCUUAACGGGAUGGCUUUUCUUAAGUGUAAAAAGCUUUUGGAAUAAGAGCUGGGCAAGACCGGUGCCAGCCGCCGCGGUAACACCGGCAGCUCUAGUGGUAGCUGUUUUUAUUGGGCCUAAAGCGUUCGUAGCCGGUUUGAUAAGUCACUGGUGAAAUCCUGUAGCUUAACUGUGGGAAUUGCUGGUGAUACUGUUGAACUUGAGGUCGGGAGAGGUUAGCGGUACUCCCAGGGUAGAGGUGAAAUUCUGUAAUCCUGGGAGGACCACCUGUGGCGAAGGCGGCUAACUGGAACGAACCUGACGGUGAGGGACGAAAGCUAGGGGCGCGAACCGGAUUAGAUACCCGGGUAGUCCUAGCCGUAACGAUGCGGACUUGGUGUUGGGAUGGCUUGAGCUGCUCCAGUGCCGAAGGGAAGCUGUUAAGUCCGCCGCCUGGGAAGUACGGUCGCAAGACUGAAACUUAAAGGAAUU
This 519-nucleotide ribosomal RNA is filed under the name uncultured bacterium. RNAcentral describes it as "bacterial SSU rRNA". It matches the Rfam family "Archaeal small subunit ribosomal RNA", at positions 345 to 866 of the family's 1478-position model. The record is from RNAcentral.